This 192-nucleotide microRNA precursor is filed under the name Oryza brachyantha (malo sina). RNAcentral's name for it is "MIR812 microRNA precursor family". It matches the Rfam family "MIR812 microRNA precursor family". Lineage: Eukaryota; Viridiplantae; Streptophyta; Magnoliopsida; Poales; Poaceae. The record is from Rfam by way of RNAcentral.
AAUAACUUCAUUUUUCAGUUUUUUCAUACAAUAUUUUGACUAUUCGUCUUAUUUGAAAUUUUUUUACGAUUAAUAUUUUUAUUGUUACUAGAAGAUAAAAUAUGAAUAGUACUUAUGCGUGACUAAUUUUUUUAAGUUUUUGUACAAAUUUUUUAAAUAAGACGAAUAGUCAAACGUUGGAUAUGGAAAAAC